UGGGGAAUUUUGGACAAUGGGGGAAACCCUGAUCCAGCCAUCCCGCGUGUGCGAUGAAGGCCUUCGGGUUGUAAAGCACUUUUGGCAGGAAAGAAACGUCGCGGGUUAAUACCCCGCGGAACUGACGGUACCUGCAGAAUAAGCACCGGCUAACUACGUGCCAGCAGCCGCGGUAAUACGUAGGGUGCAAGCGUUAAUCGGAAUUACUGGGCGUAAAGCGUGCGCAGGCGGUUCGGAAAGAAAGAUGUGAAAUCCCAGAGCUUAACUUUGGAACUGCAUUUUUAACUACCGGGCUAGAGUGUGUCAGAGGGAGGUGGAAUUCCGCGUGUAGCAGUGAAAUGCGUAGAUAUGCGGAGGAACACCGAUGGCGAAGGCAGCCUCCUGGGAUAACACUGACGCUCAUGCACGAAAGCGUGGGGAGCAAACAGGAUUAGAUACCCUGGUAGUCCACGCCCUAAACGAUGUCAACUAGCUGUUGGGGUCUUCGGACCUUGGUAGCGCAGCUAACGCGUGAAGUGACCGCCUGGGGAGUACGGUCGCAAG
RNAcentral lists this ribosomal RNA (543 nucleotides) under uncultured bacterium. RNAcentral's name for it is "partial 16S ribosomal RNA". It matches the Rfam family "Bacterial small subunit ribosomal RNA", at positions 355 to 892 of the family's 1533-position model. The record is from RNAcentral.